CUUUGAGGAUCAUGAGGAUUAGCACUGCUUUCCCGUGACAGGUUUACGAUUAAACUACAGGCUUUGCCUAUUCAGGCUUUGAGGAUCAUGAGGAUUAGCACUGCUUUCCCGUGACAGGUUUACGAUUAAACUACAGGCUUUGCCUAUUCAGGUUGAUCAGUUGGUGCAGACGAGGCUGAGCUGAGGCUAGGGGUCCACGAUGUCUUUUGCUUCCGCUAAUAACUAUCUUGUCACCUCGUCCUCCAUCCCCUAAAUUGAGAAUUUCUAUUGUGUGGUAUAAUAUUAUCUUGUUGGACUUAGACUCUUAACCCAUAUUUCUUUUAAUGAAGCUAUCGUUGAUUAUGAUCGGAGUCACGAAACUAAACUUAUGCGAUCCUGAGUUCGAAUAUUGUCAUUUGAUUAGCAUCUCUUAAUGCCUUUCAUCUUAUCUCCUUUCAUCU
This is a long non-coding RNA of Salvia miltiorrhiza (redroot sage), 440 nucleotides long. RefSeq lists it as uncharacterized. The record is from RefSeq and is a predicted model, not a curated record. The transcript is spliced from 3 exons. Lineage: Eukaryota; Viridiplantae; Streptophyta; Magnoliopsida; Lamiales; Lamiaceae.